Molecule: ribosomal RNA, 526 nt
Filed under: uncultured bacterium
Lineage: Bacteria
Description: bacterial SSU rRNA
Rfam family: Bacterial small subunit ribosomal RNA
Source: RNAcentral
UGGCUCAGGACGAACGCUGGCGGCGUGCCUAAUACAUGCAAGUCGAACGGUCUUUCUAUGGAAGCUUGCUUCCACUGAGAAGAUAGUGGCGAACGGGUGAGUAACACGUGGGUAACCUGCCCAUAAGAGGGGGGAUAACAUCCGGAAACGGGUGCUAAUACCGCAUAGUUUUCUUGAUCGCAUGAUUGAGAAAGGAAAGACGGCCUUUGUGCUGUCGCUUAUGGAUGGACCCGCGGCGUAUUAGUUAGUUGGUGAGGUAACGGCUCACCAAGACGAUGAUACGUAGCCGACCUGAGAGGGUGAUCGGCCACAUUGGGACUGAGACACGGCCCAAACUCCUACGGGAGGCAGCAGUAGGGAAUCUUCCGCAAUGGACGAAAGUCUGACGGAGCAACGCCGCGUGAGUGAAAGAAGGUUUUCGGAUCGUAAAACUCUGUUGUCAGAGAAGAACAAGUUGGAGAGUAACUGCUCCAGCCUUGACGGUAUCUGACCAGAAAGCCACGGCUAACUACGUGCCAGCCGCCGC